UACGAAGGGGGCUAGCGUUGCUCGGAAUCACUGGGCGUAAAGGGUGCGUAGGCGGGUCUUUAAGUCAGGGGUGAAAUCCUGGAGCUCAACUCCAGAACUGCCUUUGAUACUGAAGAUCUUGAGUUCGGGAGAGGUGAGUGGAACUGCGAGUGUAGAGGUGAAAUUCGUAGAUAUUCGCAAGAACACCAGUGGCGAAGGCGGCCCGCUGGGCAGUGGCUGACGCUGAGGCGCGACAGCGUGGGGAGCAAACAGG
This 253-nucleotide ribosomal RNA is filed under the name uncultured bacterium. RNAcentral's name for it is "partial 16S ribosomal RNA". It matches the Rfam family "Bacterial small subunit ribosomal RNA", at positions 524 to 776 of the family's 1533-position model. The record is from RNAcentral.